Clupea harengus (Atlantic herring) is the source of this 1350-nucleotide long non-coding RNA. RefSeq lists it as uncharacterized. The transcript has 2 exons. The record is from RefSeq and is a predicted model, not a curated record. Lineage: Eukaryota; Metazoa; Chordata; Actinopteri; Clupeiformes; Clupeidae.
AAAGCAGUGGUUGUGCCAAGAGUGCAAUCGUUGGCAAGUUGUAAAAGAUUCUGGAUCAGCACCGCAGUUUAAUGGGCCACCUGCCUCUAAGCCAAAAGAGAUUAGAUCACAGUGUUGGAGCCAUACAAGAAUGGAUUACAGAAUGUCCCCAGCUUCAAGAAGCUGACAGCAAGGACUACAGUAUGCAAUGGAGGAAUCUAUUCACGACGUUAAGUUUUAUCAACAAGGUAAAAUGCGAAUUGAAAUGCCAAGUCAUUCCAGUCUAUUUGUGUGGAGACCACAGAUGGCAAGUCUAUCACUCAACAUGGCUCCUUUACUGCUGGAUGCCUUUAACAAACCUGUCUGCAAACCACCAAGAGGAGGAUACAUCUCUCUGUAGUGCUGUUAACAUCCCAAUGCCCCUGUCUACUGACAUCAGAAUGCCAGCUCUUCAGAGUGAACCAAACUUCACAAUUGAGCAUGCCAAGCAAAUACAAAACCACACCACUAACCAAGCAGCCUCAGAACGUUGGCACACAAAACGAGUCUAAAGGAUAACUGCCUCAAUUUGUAACAAAAAAAGUAAUAAAAAAGAAAAAGUUACAGAAUCUUUCAUUGAUUCAGUUACAAGUCUAAACCCUUCUCUAAAUCUUCAUCUGUUCAGAGUCAGUUUGGUAACAACAAGGAACAUUUUGCCAAAGAAAAGUACCAAAGAAAGUUUCCAGGGAGACAUAUACACAAAUGUGGCCUACUCCUUCAGCCCAGUCUACUCCUUCAGCCCAGUCUCCCCUUCAGCCCAGUCUACUCCUUCAGCCCAGUCUCCCCUUCAGCCCAGUCUACUCCUUCAGCCCAGUCUCCCCUUCAGCCCAGUCUACUCCUUCAGCCCAGUCUACUCCUUCAGCCCAGAGUACUCCUUCAGCCCAGAGUACUCCUUCAGCCCAGUCUCCCCUUCAGCCCAGUCUCCCCUUUCUUGGAGCCACACCGGAUGGCAUAGUGGACUGCUUGAGAUAAAAUGUCCAUACAGUGCUAGUGCAUGACUGAUGGCGGCAGUAUCCACUAUUAACAAUUUACAUCUGACUAAAGGAGAGAAGAAGCAAUCUAUGUAUCUGAAACUUACAAAUAGAAGGUCAAUUACUUAUGUCUGGCCUCUAAAAGACUUGUUUGUGACCAGCGUACAGAAGAACAACUACUUCAUUAAUCAAAUAAUUGUGCAGCUCUGUCAAUUUUAUAACAGAAAUGGUGACGUACCUUCACCUGGAUGUCUCGUAUGUUUCCUUUAGACUUGUAACUUUAGAUUAUUCAUUUUAUACCUGUUGAAUAUGUUACUGUAUAAGUAUCUUGUACCUGACGAAAUAAAUUGUUAAACUCUGA